UCAGAGGCACCUCAGAAGCCUUCAUCCACACUGAGCGCGAGUGAAACCCUGCAGGGAUGUGGCAGCGGUGGGCUGCAAAGUGUGCACGUGCCAUUGGUGGAGGUGCCUGUGUUGCAGCAGCUUUCGGAGAACAUUUAUCUGAGCCUCGUGGUGUCUGCAGCAGCCAUCCAUUGCACCGGCACGGCGUCCAAACUGCAGCGUCCUCCACCGCUGGAGGGCUGAGCAAAGGCUGCAGGGAAGGGUCCGUCCGUGUACACAAAGUACUCACCGAGGUUUCUGACAUUUUCUACAGAUGGAGCUUCAACGCAGGAUGGCAAACCAGGGGGAAUGGGUGUGGAGUGAACAAGAAGCCUCUUUGCCAUCCCUCUGGCUGCUCCCACUGCAGGGCAAGACCCGUGUGGCCCCAUCACCUGAUACAGGUGCAGGUUUGCAACGUCCUCUGUCCAGCCGGGGCUGACUCAGCCAGCUCAGAGCUUCUCAUUUGGGGAUCUUUUUUCCUCCUUUCUCCUGAAGGAGCUGGCUUGGUCCCUAUCCCAGGCAGAAGAGGGCCCUUCUGUUCCUCACACCCCUCGCACCCCUCUGGCUGAGGCGCUUGUUGCAGGAGCCCGGAGGAACGUUCAGCAAUUGUCUGUUCUGGCCCCAAAUCCCUGGCACUCGCACACAGCAGGCCUGAAAUGGCCCCUUUCCCAGACAGCUCUUUAAGCAAGGUUUUCCUGUCUCUCUCUUUAAUGACUCUCAGCCAUCCUUUCCCCGCUCGCUGGAGCCGGGGCAGAUGCGGGGGGGCGAGCACCCCCUGCUCCCACUCCCCCCACUCCCUUCCCUCUACCCACAGCAUAUUUGGGGUCCCACAGCAAGUCUUGUCCCACUAGGAGGAAAUUCCCAGCUUCUGGGCCUGACCCCAUUUGCUAUCAUUUCCCUUUCCAUUUACUCCUAUAGAGAACCCCCCCAGGAGCAGGGGUGAUGUCUUUCUGUGGCUCUUCCCCCCCCCUUACUC
Cygnus olor (mute swan) is the source of this 994-nucleotide long non-coding RNA. RefSeq lists it as uncharacterized. The record is from RefSeq and is a predicted model, not a curated record. NCBI's taxonomy places the organism in Eukaryota, Metazoa, Chordata, Aves, Anseriformes, Anatidae. The transcript is spliced from 3 exons.